Molecule: ribosomal RNA, 556 nt
Filed under: Streptomyces griseocarneus
Lineage: Bacteria; Bacillati; Actinomycetota; Actinomycetes; Kitasatosporales; Streptomycetaceae
Description: bacterial SSU rRNA
Rfam family: Bacterial small subunit ribosomal RNA
Source: RNAcentral
GCUGAGGAGCGAAAGCGUGGGGAGCGAUCAGGAUUAGAUACCCUGGUAGUCCACGCCGUAAACGUUGGGAACUAGGUGUGGGCGACAUUCCACGUCGUCCGUGCCGCAGCUAACGCAUUAAGUUCCCCGCCUGGGGAGUACGGCCGCAAGGCUAAAACUCAAACGAAUUGACGGGGGCCCGCACAAGCGGCGGAGCAUGUGGCUUAAUUCGACGCAACGCGAAGAACCUUACCAAGGCUUGACAUACACCGGAAAGCAUUAGAGAUAGUGCCCCCCUUGUGGUCGGUGUACAGGUGGUGCUUGGCUGUCGUCAGCUCGUGUCGUGAGAUGUUGGGUUAAGUCCCGCAACGAGCGCAACCCUUGUCCCGUCUUGCCAGCAGGCCCUUGUGGUGCUGGGGACUCACGGGAGACCGCCGGGGUCAACUCGGAGGAAGGUGGGGACGACGUCAAGUCAUCAUGCCCCUUAUGUCUUGGGCUGCACACGUGCUACAAUGGCCGGUACAAAGAGCUGCGAUACCGCGAGGUGGAGCGAUUCUCAAAAAGCCGGUCUCAGUUC